Molecule: long non-coding RNA, 423 nt
Filed under: Mytilus galloprovincialis (Mediterranean mussel)
Lineage: Eukaryota; Metazoa; Mollusca; Bivalvia; Mytilida; Mytilidae
Source: RNAcentral
GUCAUUUUUGGUAUAUUGAAUUCUGAUAACUUAGUGUUAAACUAUUGUAUUUUACAGGCAAAAUAUUACAUUCAUUAUGUAAAGUACACACAAUUAGACAGAUUGUUAAUAUCUGUGCAAUCUUUUCUCAAAUUUUUGAAAAGACGUCUGGAGAUAUUAGAAUAUUUAUAUCUUUCUAAAGACAAGCACGAGUCAUUUGUCGACAGAUGGGGGGAAUUUAUGGAAAUUAUUAAUUAAAUUUUAUUCUCGAUAUGAUCAUGUAUAUUUAAUGUAUUCCAAAGUAUCUUUUACUUGUAUCAUAUACCGAUUAUUCACAUCAUUUACUUGUAUUUGUUUUUACUAUGUCUUAUUCGUAAAAUAUCAAUAGUAUGACUAUGCCAUAUGUCAAUCACUUAUAUAUUGUAAAAAUGUAUGUAUGUAUGU